This 107-nucleotide small RNA is filed under the name Marmota monax (woodchuck). The record is from RNAcentral. Lineage: Eukaryota; Metazoa; Chordata; Mammalia; Rodentia; Sciuridae.
GUCAGGAGUGGUGGAGCAUACCUGUAAUUCCAGUUACUCAGGAGGCUGAGACAGGAGGAUCACAAGUUCCAGGCCAGCCUCAGCAACUUAGUGAGACCCUUUCUCAA